CCGGUGGAGUCGGUAGGUUCGUCUGGGCACCUGUGUAGGCGGGCGCCUUUGUUUGUUUAGGUUUAGAAAACUCGCAAGGAAAGCUCUCCAUUUUAUUAUUCGACUCGUUAACGAAGGACCCUUGUUGACCCUUGGGUUAGGCGUCCGCGCUUAGACUCGGAAAGCGGAUCCAGCCUUAUCGAUGCAGCGUUUCGUCGACAAAAAAAAAAUCACGCUUCCAAUCGUCUGACUGCUGGGCGGCAUUAAUAAAAUAUUGCGAUCUUCGUGGCUGACUGCUCAUGGUCGCAUUCUCGGGAGGAAGAUUGGGGCCUGUGCGUCUCCCUUCAACGCGAGACGGUCUUCAUCGCAGGCGGCUUUCGAGGAAAGGCCCGCGCGAUACGCGGCUGCUGCUGCCAAAGUAUGGUUCGAUGCGGACGGGUUAGGCGCUAAAGAGCGAUAACGGCUUACAGUGAUCUGAACACAAUCAGGGCGCCUGCCUCGUCUGCCGCCGCCACCUGCAGCAGUGUUCUGGCUUCAUGAUUCACUUUGAGCCGCUGUUCGCAACAGAAGCACCCGAUACAGACUUCGCUUAUGGGACCUCCUUCUGUAUACUAAAUACUUGUA
Molecule: long non-coding RNA, 603 nt
Organism: Dermacentor albipictus
Lineage: Eukaryota; Metazoa; Arthropoda; Arachnida; Ixodida; Ixodidae
Source: RefSeq, a predicted model, not a curated record